This is a long non-coding RNA of Octopus sinensis (East Asian common octopus), 6459 nucleotides long. RefSeq lists it as uncharacterized. The transcript has 3 exons. The record is from RefSeq and is a predicted model, not a curated record. NCBI's taxonomy places the organism in Eukaryota, Metazoa, Mollusca, Cephalopoda, Octopoda, Octopodidae.
AAGUCCUGGGGUCAAUUUGCUCGACUAAAGGCGGUGCUCCAGCAUAGCCACAGUCAAAUGUGAAACAAGUAAAAGAGUACUUGUUUCACAGUCAAACAAGUAAAAAGUAAAGUGCAAUGCAGUGGUGAGUAGUUUAGGACAUAGUACUGUUAUUAAUGUCUAAUUCUAAAAUAUACUACACUUUUCAACAAUUGUAUUUAUAUUAGUAUCACUCUAUCCAUCUCUCCACCACCAUACUAGUAUCACUGUUGCUACAAUUAUCUCCUCCGUUGGUCUCUUUUAAUUAAGGAUCUGAUGUAAAUUCUCUCCACUUCUUUCCUACUAUACCAAAUAUGUAAUCAGUCUUCGAACAGUGACUACAACAACCUCUAUAGCAGGCUACUCUUCUCUCUCUUCAUCUUCACUACUUCUGUCUCUCUCUUUGUUUCUCUCUAUUGUUUGGUCCUAGGUUAGUCUUGAUUGAGCAGAUCUCUACUUAAAAGUAUUCCAGCCUCGACCAUCCAUACUCUGACCUCAUAAUCAUAUUGUUCAACUUCCCCUGAGACAGUACAGUGUGACUGGAGGAAGAUUCAGCUUCUAUUUCUUGCAGGUCAAGCAACUGUGUUAAUUUAUUGAUAAAUUAGACAUUUGACUAUUAAAGUCAUGAGUUCUCAUCUCAUUGCAGUUGCUUACAUCUUAAUAGUUUUACGAACAAGAUACUUCUCUUACCCAGGGACUUUCUCCUUAAGAUGCACAAAUAUUACUUAACCUUUAUGUUUAUCAUAUUAACAAUUUUUGUUGUUGUUGGUGUCAUUUAACCCUAAGUUAGGCCAGAUCAUAUGGACCUAUGAUGUUCAAAAGUACUCUAGCUGCAAUCAUCCUGUCUUUUCUUUUUUAUAAAUAGUGUAUCUAGGACCACAUUAUCCAAUAUUUCUUUCCCCUUUUUUAGGUAUUAAAAUGUGAUAUGAGGGGAAUUUAGCUGCUAUUUCUUGUAGUUUGAGUGGCCACAUAGAUACUUCCUCAAUGUCUGCUAUAUUUCCAGCUCCUACAUGUGAAACUCCAUUGAAAAUGUUGCCUUGGCCACUAAUGAUUAUAAACCUGGUUGAGCUGUUUUCUUUCUGUGUAGUUGUUGUUAAACUAUCAAAAAUUCCCCAAAGAAGCGAUUUGCUGAGGCAAAAUGGAAAUAUUGAAGGAUUGUGUUCUUUCUUGUUCUGCAAAUUACUCGGCAAUCCUUCUAGUACUGGUGGCACAAAAAUAAAAAAGGAAAAGCAUCCCGCACAUACUAUAAAGUGGUUGGCAUUAGGAAGGGCAUCCGGUCAUAGAAACCAGAGUAAAGCUGACAUGGAGUAUUUUCUUCGGGAGCUUUGGAGAGAUGGUGAUAUUUGUAAUAAUAGCAAUGUGAAUUCCAAGGAGUUUGAUACCAAGAAGUUAGUUAUCACAACGAAUUCUAAAAAAAAGAGAGUUAUCAUGGUUCUAAAGUGUCACCAUUGAUAGUUUCAAAAAGUUACCAUUCUUAUAUUUAUUUCCUUAGAAUUAUAAGACUUGUAUAACAUUAUUAUGGUGGUGGAGUGGCAGAGAUGGUAAGAGUGUCUGACUAAAUGUCUUAUAGUGUUCAGUUAUGUCCCUUUAUGUUCUGAGUUUCAAUACUGGUGGUGGUGGUGAUGGUAAGGGUGGAUUUUGCCUGUCUUACUUUUAGGGUUCUUUGAGAUGGGGAGAGUGUAAUAUAAACCAACUUUGUGUCUCUCCUACAUAUAUGUAGACUUGAGUUGGAGCUAGAAAUUAUUUGAUAAUCACAGUAAGCUGACAAAUGGUUUGCGAAAAAUCUGUAGUAUGCUACUAACACAUACACACGGAUAUAUAUAUAAGUACAAUAUAUGCAUGUGUUUGUGUGUGUGUGAAUGUAAACACACACAUACAUACAUACAUACAUUCAUGCAUGCAUGCAUACAUAGCAGACUGAUUUGCAUUUACUAGAUACAAUCAAUCAGAAGAACAAUGAAAAUGUGUAAAACAUUUCAGGGUUUCUCCAUUUGUGGUUAGUGACCAGCUUCAAUUCUGAAAAGGUUAAAAACUUAAUAAAUCCUCUCAAGAAAAUAUACAUAUAGUUCGUUAGAAAGUCCUCGUACAAUUUGAAAUAUUUAUAUAUGACAAAAUUAAUGUGUAAAGAACAUUUACAAACCUGACACAUCUAUUUUAUUGUCACCAAUCACAAAUUUUACUAUAAUUGUUCGAACUUAUAAAGAACUAUUAAUUUAUUUUAUGAGGAAUAUGUAAAGACUAAUAUUUAGUGAAUUAAACCUUGUUCUAUAAAUGAUUCUGCAGGUUAGGAUAAUUAAUGUGUUAUAAAAUAUAACUGAAAGUCAGUUGGGAUGAAAUUUUAGAAUAGAAUUAAAUUAUAGUUUUAUAUAUAAUGAUGGUGGGCAUGUUGAAACUUAAGUCACAAGAUUCUAUUUAAAAGUCAAAUAAAUUCUGCCACUUAUUCCUUUCAUACAUUUAUUUUAUUAUACAUAGGACUAAUGUUAAACAAACUGAGAAUGAUCCUAUAUAGAAAAUGUGUGUGUGUGUGUGCUAUAUAGCAACAGCUGCAUGUAGAUUAGGUUUUACAAAUGAAGGAGUGAAAUAUUCAAAUACUGAAAGAGUACAUUUACAUUUUGAGUUUGAAAAUUUAUAGCAUUAUUACAUGAUAGUUUAAAAUGUCCAAUUUGAAGUGUGUGCAUGUAUCUCACACACACAUGCAUGCACAUACACACACACACACUUUCUCUUCCUCCCUCUCUCUCUCUCUCCAUCAUCUCUAUUUGUCAUCCUUCUUUCCUCUGACCUUGACACUAUCAGCACUGCUUCUCCAAUCCCUGUCCGUAGCUCUCUCUUAUUCACCCUUCUCCUGCCACCCUGCAUUACUUUUAAUAUUUCCUUUACCUUCUAAACUCUUCUCCCUUACCAAUUUGUUUCGCACACAAUCCCUUUACAGCAACACUUUACAAUUUUCCAGCCUUCCCUCUCUGCCAAAACCAAUAUAUAUUGACUCAAUUCUUAGUUUCUAAAACAUACCUUCUUUGUCGAUACUUUAUGCACAUAUGCUUUCUGAAACAUUGGUUGUCAUAUUGUAAUAAUAUGAAUAAAUCCAUGUGUAUAUAUUCAUACAUACAUACAUACAUACAUACAUACAUACAUACAUACAUACAUAUGUAUGUACACACACAUGCACACACUCACACACACACACACAGAUAUAUAUAGAUAGAGAUAUGUUAAAGUAGAUGUGCAUGAUAUAUAUCAUGCACAUACACUCACAUACAUGUAUGUAUGUUUCUCUGAUUGAUGGGCAAUUUGAAUUUUCUAACCUGCAGUCUGUUGUUACUUGUUGUAAGACUGUCAUUCACUUCUGCUCAAUGUGAAAUAUUCCCAGUGAACACCGUUGAUGUUCAGAGACUUUUAAGAUUGUUUCUUGUGUUACCAUGAAAUCUCUUCAUUGGUUGUUCACAGGAGAGACCGUCUGAGAACUAAUUCUCCAUUUUAAUCACAAGUGUGUAGUACAAGGUUACAAUGCUAUUGUUUCAACCCCUGGUCAUCCUUGGGUGCUGUUAUAUAUCUUUUUUCUAUAGUAGCCUAGUUUAUAUAAAUCUGUUUUGAAGGUUGCCAUUAACUGUUGAGCUAGUUAUUAGUAAAUAAUAUUUAAAUGAUGCUAUAGUUAUAUUCAACAAUAAAUGAGAAAAUGAAACAAAAAGGUAUGUAGUGUAAAUCAUGGUUGCUAGAGUAUGACACUUCACACUUGCAUUUUGUAUUGAGCAUUACAUAUAAAAGUUAUGCACUUCAACUGAAUUAAUUUCAGGGAAGAAUAAAAUAUAAAUAUAUAUAAUAUACAUGUAUCAAUGUAUGUGUAUAUGCAUGCAUAUACACAUACUCGUGUGUAUGUAUGUAUGUAUAUAUGUAUAUAUAUGCAUACAUACACACACACACUAUAUAUAUAUAUACACACAUACACAAAGACACACACUCACAAUAUAUAUAUAUAACAUUAUUUUACUUGAUAUUUUCCUCCAAUCUAAAGGUUUGCUAAUGUACAAAAAGUAGGAUUCAGCCAAAAUUCUUUACUAAAUUUAAAAAAAAACUACCACCACCACCAUACCACUGCUAACAGCACUGCAAUAUAAACUCAUCAAGUUCUGUUUUAUGAAAAAAAAAAACCAUUUUGCAAACUAACCCAAAUUGAUCUUGAAUCUGGCCUCAGAACACAAAUUCAGGUAACCAAAUAUCAGCAGCUUUCAGCUAAAUUCUAUGUUAUUAACCAUGUUUAUUUAUAGGGUGACAUAACUCUCUACUUCACUGAUGUAUUUAUUUAUAUAUUUGGUUUGUUUCCUUCUUUAUUUUGCUUAGAUGUUGACUUUGCCCUUCAUCCUUUCGGGGUUGAUAAAAUAAGUACCCCUUGAUCAAUGAGGUCAAUAUAAUUGUCUUACCCUUACCACCCAAAAUUGCUGGCCUUGUGCCAAAAUUUGAAAUCAUUAUUAUUAAGUACUUCCAGUCCAGUAUUGGCUGCUCUUCCUACUGUAACAGCUAAACUAGAUACCAGUAACAUGCAGGGGCGUGUAAAUAAGCACCAGUAAUGUACUUAGUUGAGUUUAACCAACUAUCUGUAGUUGGCCUUGUUGCUCAGUCAAAGCAUAAAUUAUUAUUGGGGGAAAGUGCAACAUGUUUGUUGUUUUAGCUCAAAGUUGGUCCUGAAUAGACCCUUUAUCAAUGAUAUCCCAGCUGUGAUUUUCUUGUCUUUUCCUUUUUAUAUCAUUCUAGCCACAGUGUAUUUAGUACCAUAUAUUAUCCAAUGUCUCUUUUAUUAAGACAGUAGGGUGUGAUUUGAAGGAGAUUUUUAGCAAGUUGAUUGGUUUAUGGAUAAAUACAAGAAAGUAAUUAAAAAAAAACAUUUAGAAAAGGUUUGAAGCUUCCUAUUUCCUUUUAGCUAUGAAUCUAAGCUUUCAUGACUAUUUAAAAAUUACUUUUUAAUUAAUUUCUUUACUUUUUAUGGUUUGUUUUUAAUUAAAUCACUGAAGUACGAGAGUUGAUUGUCACACUGUACAAUAUUACUAGAGCUCAAUAUAUCACACAGUUGGGGAUUGGAGUCUGAGUUUAGCCAGACUGAUUAGCGUUCAAAAUACUGGUGCAUUAUUCGACAAAACAAAAUCUUAAUUUUGUUGAAUUAAAAAAUAAAAUGGUUUUUGCUAUGAAAUUCCAUAUUUCCUUGCAUUUUAACUCUUUUGAUACCAACCCUCUUGGGACUGUCCCUGGUUCUAUGAUACAGGCUUCUUGUUUUAAAGUGAUCUAAAUCAUAACCCUGCAUCAAAAUUUUAUGUAAAUUUAAGUUCCAAAAACCAGUUUAAUAAUGAGUAAAUUAGUUUACUAAAUUCUUCAUUAUUUUCAAAAUUAAUUAAAACAAAAGCAGUGUUAUUUCAAUACGAAUAUGGUAGCAAGAGGGUUAAACUCAAAUAGAGAUAUAUAAGAGAAAAAUUUCAGUAUAGUUUGACUAAAAUUCUUCAAGGCAGUGCCAUAGCAAAGCUGCAGUCAAAUUACUGAAGCAAGUAAAAGAUAAAAGAUUAAAAAAAAAAAAAAAAAUUCUACCAAUCUAUUUGUGAUUCCAGACCCUGUUUUAUCAGUUCUGUACUGAGAGUGAGAAAAUACAGUGGGGGAAAUUUGAGCUUUGUUUUUUAACUUGUGAAUCUUACCAAAACUUUUAUACUGUACUUGUACUUUUUUUUUUGUAUUAUUGUUGAUUAAUUUUCCCUUUGUAUAUUUCAUGGUGUCAACAGUUUUUCUUGGUAUCUGGAAGUUUUAAGACUUUCUUUCAACCAUCAAAUUAACUGAUGCUUAAGUAAAAAUGCUUAGCAAAAAAAAAAAAAAAAGAAGAAAAAAGCGCAGAGGAACAAAUAAAAUGAAUUAUCCAAUAAUUUAUUUAUACAUAAAAUUAUAUAUAUAACUCUCAUAUAUGUAUAAAUAUAUACAUGCACUCUGUAUGUAUCUAUAUAAAGCUAACCUACAUAUAACUAUGUAUGUAUAAUGCUAUAAUUAUACAUAUAAUAAAGCUAUAUAUAUAUGAACUGUUUUUUGGGAGGUUUAUUCUGCCAAUAAACUGAAUAUGCACUGUUAGAAAAAACCCGGAAAUAUUUGGUCUUUCAUAUCCUGAGAUAUUUUCACAAAUUUACCAGAAAAAAAAUUAUUUUUGUUCUUUGAAAAAAUAAAUAAAUAAACCAAUCCAAACAAAACCAAAAACUUCACACUUCUUUUGGAUACUUGCUUACUCUUUGUCUCUUGUUAGUUACUAUCUCUCUUUCUCUCUCCAACAUUGUUGAGUUGAAGAAGGCAAUCAAAAAUAUUACUUAUAACCAUCUGUUUCUUUUAAACUCUAGUUUUUAGUUCUAUUUGCAGUUUGUACUAAUUAUUUAUUUUCCAAAAUAAAUCUGUAUUUAAAUAAAAACAAACAAACAAAAUAAA